RNAcentral lists this ribosomal RNA (532 nucleotides) under uncultured bacterium. RNAcentral's name for it is "bacterial SSU rRNA". It matches the Rfam family "Bacterial small subunit ribosomal RNA", at positions 355 to 896 of the family's 1533-position model. The record is from RNAcentral.
UGGGGAAUAUUGCACAAUGGGCGCAAGCCUGAUGCAGCGACGCCGCGUGAGGGAUGACGGCCUUCGGGUUGUAAACCUCUGUUAGCAGGGAAGAAGAGAAAUUGACGGUACCUGCAGAGAAAGCGCCGGCUAACUACGUGCCAGCAGCCGCGGUAAUACGUAGGGCGCGAGCGUUGUCCGGAAUUAUUGGGCGUAAAGAGCUUGUAGGCGGUUUGUCGCGUCUGCUGUGAAAGGCCGGGGCUUAACCCCGUGUAUUGCAGUGGGUACGGGCAGACUAGAGUGCAGUAGGGGAGACUGGAACUCCUGGUGUAGCGGUGGAAUGCGCAGAUAUCAGGAAGAACACCGAUGGCGAAGGCAGGUCUCUGGGCUGUAACUGACGCUGAGAAGCGAAAGCAUGGGGAGCGAACAGGAUUAGAUACUCUGGUAGUCCAUGCCGUAAACGUUGGGCACUAGGUGUGGGGGACAUUCCACGUUUUCCGCGCCGUAGCUAACGCAUUAAGUGCCCCGCCUGGGGAGUACGGCCGCAAGGCUA